ACGGAAGGCAGCAGUGAGGAAUAUUGGUCAAUGGGCGAGAGCCUGAACCAGCCAAGUCGCGUGAAGGAUGAAGGUUCUAUGGAUUGUAAACUUCUUUUGUUCGAGGGUAAAGUGACUUACGUGUAGGUUAUUGCAAGUAUCGAACGAAUAAGCAUCGGCUAACUCCGUGCCAGCAGCCGCGGUAAUACGGAGGAUGCGAGCGUUAUCCGGAUUUAUUGGGUUUAAAGGGUGCGUAGGCGGGAUGUUAAGUCAGCGGUGAAAGUUUGCGGCUCAACCGUAAAAUUGCCGUUGAAACUGGCGUUCUUGAGUGUAAACGAGGUAGGCGGAAUGUAACGUGUAGCGGUGAAAUGCUUAGAUAUGUUACAGAACCCCGAUUGCGAAGGCAGCUUACCAGCAUACAACUGACGCUGAGGCACGAAAGCGUGGGUAUCAAACAGGAUUAGAUACCCUGGUA
Molecule: ribosomal RNA, 454 nt
Filed under: uncultured Porphyromonadaceae bacterium
Lineage: Bacteria; Pseudomonadati; Bacteroidota; Bacteroidia; Bacteroidales; Porphyromonadaceae
Description: partial 16S ribosomal RNA
Rfam family: Bacterial small subunit ribosomal RNA
Source: RNAcentral